UUGUGAAUGCCAUUUUAUUGCAUUUAAUGUAAUGUUUAUAAAUAAAAUUUGUCAAUAUACAUAUCAUUUUGAUAUACAUGUAUGUACAAAAUAUACAACUAUUCAUAUAAAAUAACAGAUCAAGCAGUCUUGUGGAAUUCUUAAGUUUUAAAACAAAUAACAAAAUAAUAUACAAUAACACUUCUAUCAUGCUAAGUCAGGCUCUGACCAUCAUACAUGAUUUUCAUAAUUUAUCUAAAAAGACUUAGUAAAAUUAUCACUUCCUAUCAUUAACUCAAAAGAUCAGUCAAUAUUGCUCCAAAGAAUACCAGAAUAGUGGAUACAAAUUAUCAAUCAUAAAAAAUACAAUUGUCAGUUUUCUGAUAAAAUGUAAUGAAGGGUUUAGUGACCCUUCAUCUUGUCUGCUCUUACAAUUUUAUGAAUGAACACUUACAAUUCCUAUAACUUGUAAUUCAAAUGAUAUCCAUGCAAAAUAAAAAUGUGAAAUAUUAAGAUUUAAAAAGAAAAUUAGAAAUACAUUUACUGACAUGGUUUUUUUUCUCUUAACAUUUAUAAAAUAUUCAUUACAAAUUAUCCUUAAAUAAUCCUUUAUUUCCUUUUUACUAUAAUUCUUAGGUAUUCUUUUCACAUGAGCUAUCAGCCAAGAAGUUUAAACUAUUUAUAAAUGUCAAAUCUACCGCCUCAAUAAUGAAAAAAAUAUUACCAAUUUUUUUUCAACUAGAUCCUAUUUAAAAUAUUAAACAUAAAUCCAAUUUUAAAUAAACAUUUGAUAAUUUUUUUCAAGCUAUAAAAACAAUUUUUGCAAGCUUUUAACUCAUACAUUUAUGAGGUCCAUCCAGUUGAUUGCCAGUAUGCUAUAAAAAAAAAAUGGGAGACAACUUUUCUCCCAAUUACAUUUCACAUUAGUACCUUCCUUAUGUGGGGAGACAAAAAUUAAGCAUCCAUGGUAGGGAUUUUUAUUCUAUAAAUAAGCAGUUUGGUACUUGGACUUAUGGUACAAAAUAUAAUGAAUUAAAAGUCUCUCAGUUUUGUGCAUCGAUAGAAAAUUUACAUAUAUCUAAGAUUUAUUCUAUUUAAAUGAUAUAAAUGAGGAUUGUUCUGUGUAGUUUGGAAUGGGACUGUCAGUCUAUGUAAUUACUUGAAAAAAACACUUUUUUUUUUAUGAUUUUGUAGAUAUAGCACUUUUACAAUGUUGGAAGACUAAACAAGUUUUUUUAUUCCUUCACCCUCCAUAUAAACUAUGAUCGACAUUGACAAAGUGGUAAAAAGUACAAGUCAACUAGAAAAGAACUUGACACAUCAGACUGUUAUUAAGUAAAGGUUGCUAGAUAAAUCAAAGUAAUAUAUAAAUAAUAUUCAUAAACGAGUCUAAUUUGAAAACUACGUUCAAACAUUGUACAUCUAUCAAGUUAAUCAAGAGCAAAAAAUUGGAAAAAACUAAAGAU
Molecule: long non-coding RNA, 1445 nt
Filed under: Mytilus galloprovincialis (Mediterranean mussel)
Lineage: Eukaryota; Metazoa; Mollusca; Bivalvia; Mytilida; Mytilidae
Source: RNAcentral